RNAcentral lists this long non-coding RNA (215 nucleotides) under Homo sapiens (human). RNAcentral describes it as "HSALNT0234942". Lineage: Eukaryota; Metazoa; Chordata; Mammalia; Primates; Hominidae. The record is from RNAcentral.
AAAACUCAUCCCUGCACACCCACCCCCAUCUCCACCUCUCCUUCCUGGCUCAGCAGACCCUGCUCUGAGCCACCGCAGUCUACAUCCUGCCUCACUGACUGUGUGUGCUUACAGCGUCAAGGGGUGGACGUGAUAUUUCAAACAUCAGAUCAGUGCGUUUAUAUAUUGGGUGCCCGGAAAUUUUUCCAAAUAAACACAGCUUGAUUCAACUUGGG